Molecule: non-coding RNA, 19 nt
Filed under: Arabidopsis thaliana (thale cress)
Lineage: Eukaryota; Viridiplantae; Streptophyta; Magnoliopsida; Brassicales; Brassicaceae
Source: RNAcentral
UGGUUUAGCACUCAUUGUC